RNAcentral lists this RNase P RNA (468 nucleotides) under Corynebacterium jeikeium K411. RNAcentral's name for it is "Bacterial RNase P class A". It matches the Rfam family "Bacterial RNase P class A". From Rfam's summary of the family: Ribonuclease P (RNase P) is a ubiquitous endoribonuclease, found in archaea, bacteria and eukarya as well as chloroplasts and mitochondria. The record is from Rfam by way of RNAcentral. Lineage: Bacteria; Bacillati; Actinomycetota; Actinomycetes; Mycobacteriales; Corynebacteriaceae.
CGAGACGGCCGGGCGAUCGCGGCGCACGGAACCACCCUGUACACGGGGCAGGCCGGGCGCGGAGGAAAGUCCGGACUCCACAGGGCAACGGUGGUUGCUAACAGCAACCCGGGGCGACCCGCGGGAACAGUGCCACAGAAAACAAACCGCCCGCCACGCGCGGGUAAGGGUGAAAAGGUGCGGUAAGAGCGCACCAGCACCCCAGGCGACUGGGGUGGCUAGGUAAACCCCACCGGGAGCAAGGUCAAGGUGCCCGCACGCACGCCAUCCCAGAUGGUGCACCAGCGUGCGGCGUAGCUCUAGGGCUGCCCGCCCAACAAUGAGCAGGUAGGCCGCUUGAAGCCACCAGCAAUGGUGGGCUCAGAUGGAUGAUCGCCUCGUCCCACGCCUUCUUCGCGUGCCCCUCGCGGGCGCUGCGGAAAUGGACGGGGGAUAGGACAGAAUCCGGCUCAUAGGCCGUCUCGGCGC